CUCGUGAUCCACCCGCCUCGGCCUCCCAAAGUGCUGGGAUUACAGGCGUGAGACACCACGCCCGGCCUGCUUCAUGUUUUUGCAAGGCCAGAGUGAGUGAAGAAAGGAAUGGAGGACAAUGCGGGAAGGAGGGGGAGGACUCUUUCAAAGGAGAUUCUUUGAGGAGUUCUUGGGAGGCAUAAUGAAAAUCUUCCCUGCACUGAGUUUGGGCAGGAAUGAAGGGACUAACACUCCAUUACAAAGCUUUUGGUGAAAGGAUGUGGUCCCGGUCUAUCCAUCCGCCAUCAUCUUACAUUUCCCCAGGCUGUAAGGAAGAGCCACUGAUACUUUCCUCCACUAAGAGAUGCCUCCGUCUGGAGGAUUGUGGGAAGAAAGGGUACCUAGGUGGGUUGGAAUUUCACUGGGCACUGUUCUAUUGUGAUGGCUUCACUGAGAUUGUUGGUCUUCUCUAAACUCCAGGAAUGUUCAGAGCCUUGGGCCCUCACACCCCUCAGCUGACCAGGCUCCCAGGAGCUUGCCAGUCCCGGGGACGUUCAGGCUAUUUGCUUCAUGCAUGAUACCCACACAUUCUCUCCAAAUCCCUGCUCUCCACAUGGGGAGCAGUGAUUACAUGGAGCUGGUUAAGUGGCUGCAUUUCAAAGUUCAUUUAGUUUCUUCUCCAUUCCAAGAGGCAGGGCUGGGGCCACCAGAAUCUUACAUCUCUGGCUUGGGUUUCAGCUCCCAGCCACUCUCUUUUACAGAGCCCACAAAGCGUGGACGGCCACCCAGCCUUCCCAGUUUACAUGAUCAUGGGGAGAGCCUGUCAAAAGAAAUGAUUCCAGCUCCUCUGUGAAGCCCUUCCUGAUCUCUUGUCAAACGGGAGACCUGAUCACUCUGCUACGUGCUUACCAACAACUGCACAGAGCCUGUGCUUAAGAUGGCAGGAUCGCAAGACAGAGCAACUGGAGCAAGUCCUCAUUAAGAAGAGCCGCCCGAUGCAUUUGGACUGCGAUGUGUUACGCCCAUGAGAUUUCAGGGUUAAUUUGUUACCUGGCCGUGGCCUAUCCUCUUCCAGCAGAUACAGAGGCUACUGCAGUUUGCAACUUUGCAGAUACCAGCAGAGGAAGAAAAACCUGGGAGACUGCUGCUAACCUAAUGUGGAGACUUGACUUAAACUUCAGCCAGACAAAGGCGGAAUCUUAAUAUGGAGGGGCCUGGCUCUGCAGGGAGGUCACCUGGGCUGGCUGGAUUUCAAUCCAGUUACACAGCAAAAAAGUUACAACCCAAGCUUUGGCGAUGCUGAGCCUUCUACUCUCAGGGAUUCCAAAGCAUUUGAUAAACUCUUUCUUUGUUCCAUUGUUUACUGACUUCCUAGUGCUUGUCUUGUUCUGCAGUUAUUUAUUUAUUUUUAUUUAUUAGUUUUUACUUAUGAUCUACCCCUCUCUCCCAUCUCCCCGCAACCUGAAGGUAAGGUGCAGGAAGUUAUGGCCUUUGCUUUGUAUGCCAUUACAUUCCCCCUCCCCAGGGAAGGGGUUAGCAUGAUGGUAGGAACUGUUCCCUCUUGGUGACAGAUAAGUGACUGGAGCAGAAUCCACUUCUGCUGAGAAGCUCUGGAUGACCACGGAUAAGCAGGAAGGCAUGUGACAUAUUGGCAAGUGAGUCAGACAGAAAGAGAGACGUGGGAUCGAGUCCUGGCAUUGCCCUUUCUAGCUAUUGUGUCCUUGGACAGGUAAUUUAGCUUCCCUGAGUCUGUUUUCUCAUCUGAAAAAUGAAGAUAGUAAUAAUUAUCCUCGUGGGGCUAUUGAAAAAGUUAAAAUAAUACAAGCAAAGCAUUUAACAUAGG
Molecule: long non-coding RNA, 1822 nt
Filed under: Homo sapiens (human)
Lineage: Eukaryota; Metazoa; Chordata; Mammalia; Primates; Hominidae
Description: HSALNT0097414
Source: RNAcentral